This 481-nucleotide ribosomal RNA is filed under the name uncultured bacterium. Its description in RNAcentral is "SSU rRNA". It matches the Rfam family "Bacterial small subunit ribosomal RNA", at positions 26 to 518 of the family's 1533-position model. The record is from RNAcentral.
AGAACGAACGCUGGCGGCGUGGAUAAGACAUGCAAGUCGAACGCGAUUUAUCGGGUUAGCAAUAACUUGAUAAAUUGAGUGGCGAAAGGGUGCGUAACACGUGGGAAUUUACCAAGAAGUGGGGAAUAGCUCGACGAAAGUCGAAUUAAUACCGCAUACGAUCGCAAGAUCAAAGCCGGGGACCGCAAGGCCUGGCGCUUUUUGAGAAGCCCGCGGCCCAUCAGCUAGUUGGCGGGGUAACGGCCCACCAAGGCUAUGACGGGUAGCUGGUCUGAGAGGACGACCAGCCACACUGGAACUGAGACACGGUCCAGACACCUACGGGUGGCAGCAGUCGAGAAUUUUUCACAAUGGACGAAAGUCUGAUGGAGCGACGCCGCGUGGAGGAUGAAGGUUUUCGGAUCGUAAACUGCUUUUCUCGGGGACGAGAACGGACGGUACCCGAGGAAUCAGCCCCGGCUAACUACGUGCCAGCAGUCGC